CGCAAGUGCCGAUUUCUGUUCCAUCCACACGUUAUUUCGGUGCUUCUAACGCUGUUUUUCAGAGUUACACAAAGCUCUCAAAGCUGGGAUUUCUCAGAGGUUUGCAGCUUGGUAGACUUGCACACAUGCUGCGGACGACGCUUCUAAAAUACAGCCCUUCCUUUCCAUGUAUUCACUGUUCUAUGCUAUUCUUUACAAAAUGUCCCAGGAAAAGCACUGAACUCUGUGUCACCUCUUCAGGCAAUCACUCCUCACAACCUCGAAGUAUUUCGAUAGAAUCACAGAAUCACCAAGGUUGGAAAAGACCUACAAGAUCACCCAGUCCAACCGUCCACCUAUCGCUUAGUGAGGAAACAAUACGGGAAUGUUCACUGAUGUGUGUAUAAAUAGUGAGUACUCCCGUAUGAGCACUCGCAUAUUUUGGUUCGCUUUAAAACUGAAGCAACACUUGUAGCUACAGUUCCAGGGAGAGCACGUAGGCCCUGUGCUGAGAAUGCUUGGAGGCACCAUCAGAGAGCAGCAGAGCUCCACGGAAAACGCUUCCACUGGCGCAGGUGGUGGUUGAUGCAGGCGGAGAGGCUCCAUACCUUUUGGCACCGUGUGCUCUGGCAGCAGAUACUGUUUUCCAGCACUGCGAAAAGCAGCGCGCCGCUCUCUUGCUUACCAGCAUCACUCAAGGCUUCACCUGUUUGACAGAGAUAAUAGCAGCUCCUGUCAGCGAAGCACUCCUGGCUCGUGGAGGAGUUUACUCCUGUUCUACCUUCUCUGGAGGGAAAUUUUACUUUGAGAAAGGACCGGAUUCUUCCUGUCAUCCCCGCCAGCCUCUGUUUUAUUUUUUGCGUGAUGAGAGGACAAAGAGAAUCCGCUCUAGUUCAGAUUUCCGUGGAAAGAGCUCUGUCCCCUACACUUCACUGAUUUCCUUUUGUUUGGGAGCAAAGAGUUAUUUUCAACAGUUUCAGUUGAUUGGAAACCAUUUUGGCAUGGGGCUGAGAAUAUAGACUGCGAGCUGGAACCUGAGAGCCAGGCUCUGGUCUGCGGAUCCAAGGAGAGAAGAAAGGAAUUAGUUUGCUCCCCGAUGCAGGAGCUGCUUGGGAAUUCUUCUGACUCUCGGUUUAAAUCAGCUCCACGAGGCAGAGCUGCUGCUCCCCUGGCCAGCCAAUAUCCCCACGCUCCUUUUCCCUGUGUCAGCAUCACAGCAAGGUCGGGAGCACGUGGGUGGUGUGGGGUCAGUGUGCCUUCAUGUCAGUGCUCCCAGGGAUAAGGAACAGCAUCAUUUCUUCUUCUGAGAGAGCAGUCUAGGAGAUUUGCUUGUUUGUAAGCUGUGUGGGACAUACCCCAUUUCGUUUGUUGCGUGGAAGGCUAAGCCAAUCAAUCAGGCAUUGCAGAACCUCUUUGAGCCAUUUACCUGUUCAUUACACUUUUUUUCUUUUCAGUGCAGAUUUCAACCUGAGAAAAAACACGGUCUUCUAACAAGGAAUAAACCUAAAGCUGAAAAACAA
Molecule: long non-coding RNA, 1499 nt
Organism: Numida meleagris (helmeted guineafowl)
Lineage: Eukaryota; Metazoa; Chordata; Aves; Galliformes; Numididae
Exons: 2
Source: RefSeq, a predicted model, not a curated record